CAAUACUUGCCUUUCUCCUAACUCAUGUGCAACACUUUCUGGUUCCAUUCAAUGUCCAUCAACUGCAUUAAUAUCUUCUGAUAAACUCUUGAAGUGAUGAUGAAAAUUAGAAUUUCUGCUGUUAGUGUAGUCUUACUAUUAUUAACAUUUCUUUCUCUUGAUAUUUUCCAAUAUUUUUUGGGACCUUUAUUAUUGUUUUAUUUUAACUUAGUCACCAAGCUUUCCUUCUCUUUACUCUGCACUCUUUUCUAAUCAGUCUUAUAUUUCUUACUUUUUUCUGUCAUGACUAUAAUUUUCUUCACUCCUUCUUCGAUUAUAUUUACGUCUAGCCUUAUAGUAGGCUUUCCUUGUUUUCCAGCAUUGAUUGUCACACACAAAUAGGCUUACAUUAUUACUUUGUUUAACAAAAUUUUUCCUUUUUUUGGGUGUGAAUACCUUUAUAGGUGGUUCUGACAAUGUGUUCUUUAACCAAGAAUUCACCUCUUCAGCAGACAUAAAAUCCCUCUGCUCUAUUAACUCCUUUACCUCACCUUCAUUAAUUUCUGCUUUAUAAUCAUCUUCCUUUGUUGCACUCCAUUUCCCUGUUAAGCUACAAUUAUUCACAGGUAUAUUACUUCCAUCAUUAUUUCUUUUCUUUUCAAUAUUAACUUUUAGUUGUACAUGUAUACCACAAUGAAUAUCUGAGUACAGCGGAUCAAAAUCUAGUAUUCUAAAUUCCUGUUCAUUUUUCUGAACAGUGUUGGUGAGCCAGUGACAUAAUCCACCAGUGUAGCAUAAGUAGUUGUGGGUUUCCCCACUCUAAGCUCUUCAUCUAGUCUACCAUUAAAUAUACACACAUCAUUAUUACUACAAAUUGUCACCAGGUCAAAGUCCAGAUUCGUCUUCCUCUGGGUCAUCGAUGGACCUAAAACCUGUUAAAACAAUAAGGGUAAAGCGCGUGAAGCAUAUAACACGUGGUAACAGGAAAGAGAAACUACGCCGUGUCACUCGCCACCGCCUCAACCAUUGCGGACCCUGUUAUUGCAACCACCACCACAGAUACGCCUGAUCCUACUGCUGCCACAGCCUCUUUAUCAUUGAAACACAAAAAGCAACCACCCAGCAUUUCCUCAGGUGUUCUUGGAAAGAAAAGGAGUGUGCAAAGUGGACAAGGAAGGAGGCGUAUAAAAAAAAGGUAACAGGCUCCCUCGACACAACCACCACCACCACCAGCUCUGGUGUCACCACCUCCACCGCCGUUACGUAUUUAGUUUCUUGUUUGGAAUAUUUUUUUCCCAUAGAGGAACUGUAAAAUGAAGUAGGUGUAAGAAAAUGCAGUAAAGUUACUGGUUUUUUGCUUCUUGUUGAGGAAGAACUUCUUUUUCUAGAAAAGAAACGCUUAAAGGGUUAAUGUUAGUGCAGCAGGAUUAGCACAUUAUUUCAGGCAUUACAGCACAUCAGCAUUAGCACAGCAUCACAAUUCUGUAACAACAUUAUUUUAGGCAUGACAACAUCACAAGCAGAACAACAUUACAUACAAACGCAAAACAGCAUCACAUAACAGUGAUAAUAAGAUUAAGAUGCUGUGAUGCUGAGGGUCAGAUUAUGAUGUUGUGCUGUUAGGUCUAAGAUAAUAAUGAUGUGAUGUCUAAGAUACCCUGUGAUGCUGUUAGAUCUAAGAUAAUGAGGCUGUAAUGCUGUUAUGUCUAAGAUAAAGAUGAUGUGAUUCUGUUGUCUAAGAAUAACACAACAGCAACACAGCAUCACCACCAGUACCCAGGCAUCAUCACCACACACAUCAGUUUCCCCACAAACCUCACCAUCAGACACACACAACCACCACCAGUACCCAGGCAUCACCAUGCAGCGUCACACUCAAAACAGCAGCAUCACAUUUGAACAGCCCAUGGUGAGGAAUUAAAGCAAGAGGGAAUAUUGCGUAAUAACUGUAAGUACUCGGUAGGUUCCCACGUCACCUGUUCAAAGCAGACGAUUUUUUUUGCUUUUGCUACUUUUUGCUAUUGUGGCAGUAUGUACUUUGUUUAUUUGACAGUUUCAUCAAAUUUAUCUUAUUUUCUGAGUAAUUGCGUUUUUAAUAAUGUUUUAAGUGCAACAGGAACCGAAUUCUUGAGUAAUGAAAGAUGAGGCUACAAGAAGAAGCAGAGGAAAUUCCGAAAUGGACGUCGGUGUGUGUUUUUCCAUCUUAUUUCACCAUUUUAUCCUCAGGAAAUCUCUGCUGGGGAGACUGGUCACUUGAUAGCAACAAGAACUGACGUCAGUUGACCAAGACACCACUAGGAAUUGACAUUAGCUGACCAAGACAGGACCAGAAAUUGACACCCACUUGCCACAAUAUCAGCUCCAACACCUACCCAAUCAGCAGUGCAGCAUGGGUCACCUACAGGGUUGGCUGUGGUGUGUCCCUCAUUGUGUACACAUCAUACUCUGCCACACUGGUCUCACACCUGGCAGUGGAGCAGUCUGUGACUCUGCCCUUCAGCAACCUGCAGGAGCUGUCUAGGCAGUCAGGCUGGGAUGCUGGAUGCAACAACAAUGACCUCUUCAAAGUGACAGCCUCAGUGGCUCCUUGGUUUUUUGCUCCCUGUGCUGAUAUACCAUCCACACUUCAGAGAGAGAGAGAGAGAGAGAGAGAGAGAGAGAGAGAGAGAGAGAGAGAGAGAGAGAGAGAGAGAGAGAGAGAGAGAGAGAGAGAGAGAGAGGGGGGUGGGGGGGGGGACAGGCAGGCAGGCAGGCCUUACAUAAUUAAGCAUUCUGUAAGUGAAAGAAACUCAAAUUAAUCAGUAAACACUAAUUUUCUAUGAACUUUUUAACAUUUUUUAUCAUUAUUAAUACAGCUGCUUUUGUUUCAUUUACACUAAAUAAAUAUGCUCUUUUCUCUAGAUUAUAUUAUAUAUAUUAAAAAAUUGAAUGGAAUAUAGAUACAUAAAAACAUUAAUAUAAAUAUCUCAGGCUGGCCAUGGGCCUCCACAGACCUCAAGGUGGUGUGUCACACCAACACUUUUUCCGUCAACUUUUUCCAUCGUUUUUCUGAAAAUCGUGGAUAUCUUGGCUGCGGCCUGUCGCACACAAAUGGUGUUUCAUCUGAAACUUUCCAUUGGCACAGCCCAAGGAGUGCAAACAAACAUGGAGUCCACACUGCAGCAAAGAUACGCUACUCUGAAACUAAUACUGUUUACUGUGAGACACAGUAUUGGAGGGCACAGGUGACAGUGUUGUGAGCCGCUCUUUUCAGGCCUUUCUUCAUACAAGAUUCAUCCUUGUGGUCCCAGAGGCACUUAUGGCUCCUUAUGCUUUCCACAAGGAUCUCCUCUGAACGGCGUGUCCAACUUGGAUGUGGUUUUCCUUCCAUGACGAAGCGUAGAGGUGGUAAUAACAUUCUGUGAGACAGGUUGAAGCCACACAGAAAGUCUUGGUCUUGGUCUUGGAAAUAUAAACAAAGGCGGAAAUUUGCAGGAGGAAACAAUCCUGAUCGUCUGACAAAUUCAUGCGAUAAGUUCAUGUGGAACGAUGAAAAACUGACGGAAAAAGUGCUAGUAUGACACCACCUUAAAUCCACCCCUGGAUUUGUGAGUUAAUUUUUUUUUCUUUUUUUUUCUUACUUGAGGGGCAUUGGCUUUGGGAGGGAAAAAAAAAAAGACCCACUUAUGUGCCAUUCCCUUAAGACCAAAAGGAUCAUCCAAAAUUGGAGGGUAAGUGCCUUGAAACUUUCCUCUUGAAAGAGUUCUAGUCAUAAGAAGGAGGAAAUAUAGAAGUAGGCAGAGUGUCCCAGAGUCUACCAAAAACUAACUGACUGUUAGGCUAAACUGUGUAAAAUACUGAUGUGACUACCGUCCUCUUUUUCUGUUUUUGCUGCUUCUCUGGAGUGAGGGGCUGGCACCAUGCACAAGUCUUCUUUGGUUGUGUCUGUCCCUUGCAUCUUCUUCUGUGACUCCCAUCCUUAGCAGCUCUAGCACAAUUCCAUCCUUCCAUCUCACUCACUCUUUACCUUGAUCUUCCUUCAACUGGCUUUCUCCAGGCCCUUUUGAUUAGUCCUUUAUCAAGAUUGCCUCCAAUAACCACCUAGGAUGUGAACAAUCUCAUAUCACCACAUCAGUCUGGCUAGAUUAUAACGUGCCUUCUCUUCUUCCCUGGGAGCAGCAAACCUGUGUGGGCUCCCAGACAGACUCCUCCAGAAUCAAGGAACUGCCAGUCCAGUACAUCACAGGAGGCAUUGCUAUUGGGCUGCAAAAAAAAAUCACCUUUAGGAAGUUAUUUGACCGCAGCCUUCAGAAGAGGCAGGAGUCAAGCCUGAUGAACAAGCUGAGGUCCAAUUGGCUAUCAGCAGGAACUUCAAUGUGUGGCAGGAAGACUAAAUUCACAGCCAGCCUCUCUGAUGUGGCUGCAAUCUUCAUCCUCUUGAUGGGUGGUGCAGCAUUUAGCUGUCUGCUGCUGCUGCUGCUGCUGCUGCUGGAGUAUGCAGUGGAUAAUGAUGCAUGUGUAAAACCAUGGCCCAUAUUCUGAAGCACUCUGCUCUCUCACUAUGACCAUUUUCAGAGUCCACAUAGAUGAUUAGCUGGGUUCUCAAGAAAGAUUUCUCCUGUUGAUAAAUUUGAAAUCUUGUUAAUUUGGCAUUAGACCUGCAUAAGUACCUCAACACACAUGUAACUUCAUCCAGAGCCUUUUAAAAGCAGUGGAAGUGAGGUUUAGUAGUGUUUCAGAACAUUACCCAACAUACCUAAAACUCAAAAGCAUAUGAACCGAGUGACAAUCUCACACAAGGAGGCCAAGGCAAAGUGCAUAACAUAACUUAAGAAUUGAAAGUCUCAUAUAUCCUGCCAUGUACAUAAGAGUAUAAUGGAAGCUGCAAGACUACACAAGGCAGGCAGUCCCUCUAUAAAGCAUAUUAACCACACUUACAGAUACAUGCAAGACAAAAGGUGGCAGACAAUAAGUUCUUGGGGUUUGCUGACCUGAAGGAACUGCAGAAAAUAACAAGAAACAAGACACCUACACUUUUUUUUUUCUGUACGAGGGACACUGGCCAGGGGCAAAAAAAAAAAAAAAAAAAAAAAAAAAAAAAAAAAAAAAAAAAAAAAGUGUCCGAAGCAGUAGUCAAAAAUUGAAGGAUAAGAGUCUUGAAACCCCUCUAUUGAAGGAGUUCAAGUCAUAGGAAAAUGGAAAUACAGAAGCAGGCAGGGAGUUCCAGUUUACCAGAGAAAGGGAUGAAUGAUUGAGAAUACUGGUUAACAUUUGCAUUAGAAAGGUGGACAGAACAGGAUUGAGAGAAAGAAGAAAGUCUUGUGCAGCGAGGCCACAGGAGGAGGGAAGGCAUGCAGUUAGCAAGAUCAGAAGAGCAGUUAGUAUGAAAAUAGUGGUAGAAGACAGCUAGAGAUGCAACAUUGCACUGAUGAGAGAGAGGCUGAAGACAGUCAGUUAGAGGAGAGAAGUUGAUGAGACAAAAAGCUUUUGAUUCCACCCUGUCUAAAAGAGCAGUAUGAGUGGGACCCCCCCCCCCCCCAGACAUGUGAAGUAUACUCCAUACAUGGACGGAUAAGGCCCUUGUACAGAGGUAGCAGCUGGGGGGGGUGAGAAAAACUGGCGGAGACAUUUCAGAACACGUAACUUCAUAGAAGCUGUUUUAGCUAGAGAUGAGAUGUGAAGUUUCCAGUUCAGAUUAUACGUAAAGGACAGACUGAGGAUGUUCAGUGUAAAAGAGGGGGACAGUUGAGUGUCACUGAAGAAGGGAUAGUUGUCUGGAAGGUUGUGUUGAGUUGAUAGAUAGAGGAAUUGAGUUUUUGAGGCAUUGAAUAAUAUCAAAUUUGCUCUGCCCCAAUCAGAAAUUUUAGAAAGCUCAGAAGUCAGGCAUUCUGUGGCUUCCCUGAAUGAAAUGUUUACUUCCUGAAGUGUUGGACGUCUAUGAAAAGAUGUGGAAAAGUGCAGGGUGGUAUCAUCAGCAUAGGAGUGGACAGGACAAGAAGCCUGGUUUAGAAAGUCAUUGAUGGAUAAUAAAAAGAGAGUGGGUGACAGGACAGAACCCUGUUAAUAGAUUUAGGAGAAGGAAUGGCCUAAGUUAAUGCUUAAGAAGUUUUGAAAAAGGAAAAAAGGUGACUGGGACGUGAGAUGUGAAUGCAAGUGAAUGGCAACGUGGGGAAAAAAAUAUAAAAUACCGUGAGCUGCUCUUUGCAAACACUUUAAAAAAGAAAAAAAAUUAUUUACCAUUCUACUGGAAAAGAAAAUACAAGACUAUAAAAGAAUGACUGAUUACAUGGCAGUGUGUGUGUGUGUGUGUGUGUGUGUGUGUGUGUGUGUGUGUAUGGAAAAGGCUUCAGAACUUAAUUUUCAAGAACAUUUUGAAAAGUUAUUGAAUCCAUCUAGUGAGCAACCGAUUGCCGAUAGUGUGUUAGAUGUUGAUGAUUUGGAAAAUAUGCCAUAUAUACCAAUUUUAGACGAUCCUUUUUCUAUGACUGAACUUGACGAUGCACUGAAUGUUACGAAGAACAAAAGUUAUAUAGGAUUAUGCCCGGCCAUGAUUAAGGUGUUUGAUGUAACAUGGAAGUUAUUUAUCUUGAAUGUGUUUAAUGUAGUGUUCACUCAAAUAUGUUACCCCCUGUUAUGGUGUUACAACAAGCUAAUUGUAUUAUUUAAGUCAGGUAAUCGUAUGAUUUGUGGUAAUUAUAGAGGAAUCACUAUAAUGGAUACUCUAGCUAAAGUUUAUGACACUAUGAUAUUGAAUAGAUUGAAAUUAUGGUGGAACAUCGACAAGUGUCAAGCGGGAGCACAAAAACAGAGAGGCUGUGUUGAACAGAUUACUGCUUUGAGGUUACUCUGUGACUAUGUUAUGUACAAGAAGAGAAAACUGUAUGUCCUGUUUAUAGAUUUUAGUAAGGCAUACGAUCGGGUCCCCAGAGGAAAACUUAUAGAUGCUUUAAAAGAGCGUGGAUGUGGUAAGGUAAUGAUUAGAGCCAUUAAAGCUAUGUAUACCUGUACUAGAAAUAUUAUGAAAUCUGCAAUCAUUGAAUCAUCUGUUGGUGUUCGUCAAAGGGCCCCGACCAGUUGUCUGCUUUUUACUUUGUAUAUUGACCAUAUGGUAAAGAUGCUGAAAAACGAAAUAGCAGCAGACGAUUUCUUAGGAAGUUUACAUACAAUGCUGUUAAUGGAUGACGCAGUGAUCGUUGCAACAAGUAGAGAAAUGUGUGAAAAGAAAAUGAACAUCGUGUUACAUUAUUGUAGUGAAUACGGAAUGCUUAUCAAUGAGAAGAAAACAAAAUUUUUUGUGGUAAACGGUGAUGAUAGAGACAAACAUGACUUAAAGGUGGGUGAGGUAGUAGUGAACUAUGCUGCCAGGUACUUGUACCUCGGUGCCUGGUUCACAGACACUGCCGGAAUGGACGAUGUACUUAACAUGCACCAAACAAUGAGUGAAGCGACACUAAACAAAUUUUCUAUUUUUUGUGCAGCAAAUACAUUAAUGCCAUUUAUAUUGAAGAAAAAGGUUUUUGAUGCUGCCGUGACGUCAGCCUUACUGUACAGUUGUGAGUCGUGGCUGACAAACAAGACUAAGAACUUAGAAAGACAAUACAACAGUUUAGUAAAGUGUUUAUUAGGUUUGAGAAAAAAUACCAGCAUAAAUUUAUGUAUGGUUGAAAGCGGCAUUUUACCUGUAAUAGAAUUAGUAAAGCGAAGGAGGAAAAACUUCUUAAAAUCUAAGUUGGAGGUCAUAGA
RNA transcript from Scylla paramamosain (green mud crab), 7701 nucleotides. RefSeq lists it as uncharacterized. The record is from RefSeq and is a predicted model, not a curated record. The transcript is spliced from 5 exons. NCBI's taxonomy places the organism in Eukaryota, Metazoa, Arthropoda, Malacostraca, Decapoda, Portunidae.